CCUACGGGAGGCAGCAGUGAGGAAUAUUGGUCAAUGGUCGGGAGACUGAACCAGCCAAGCCGCGUGAGGGAUGAAGGUACAGAGUAUCGUAAACCUCUUUUGUCAGGGAACAAAGGCGGGGACGUGUCCCCGGAUGAGUGUACCUGAAGAAAAAGCAUCGGCUAACUCCGUGCCAGAAGCCGCGGUAAUACGGAGGAUGCGAGCGUUAGCCGGAUUUAUUGGGUUUAAAGGGUGCGCAGGCGGUCUGUUAAGUCAGCGGGAAAAGCCCGGGGCUCAACCCCGGCCCGCCGUUGAAACUGGCAGUCUCGAGUUGGAGAGAAGUAUGCGGAAUGCGCGGUGUAGCGGUGAAAUGCAUAGAUAUCGCGCAGAACUCCGAUUGCGAAGGCAGCAUGCCGGCUCCACACUGACGCUGAGGCACGAAAGCGUGGGUAUCGAACAGGAUUAGAUACCCCUGUAGUC
RNAcentral lists this ribosomal RNA (459 nucleotides) under uncultured bacterium. Its description in RNAcentral is "partial 16S ribosomal RNA". It matches the Rfam family "Bacterial small subunit ribosomal RNA", at positions 338 to 795 of the family's 1533-position model. The record is from RNAcentral.